UAGAUGGAAAAGGGAUAAGUGAGUUCAAUAGAAAUCAACACCAAGACAUCAUAGGUUGUAGAGUGUGGUUUCUAAAGGUGGUAUCUUGAUGAUGUGGUAACAUGGACACUACUUAUGGACACCAUGGAUUAGGAUUGCCCCAAUCAUGUUGAUGUCUUUGUCUUAAGUCUCUAUCGUCUUCAAUUCAGCAUUAGCAACUUCAUUGGGCUCUCAAUUAUUAUGCACUGCCCCUGCCCCUGCCGUUUGCCGGUAGUGGGGUCUUAGACGACAAGGUUCACGCCCUCGGCGGGGAUGCCAAAGAGGACGCGACCAUGGCGGCAGUUGAGGACGCAUGAACCGGCGAAAUCAUGCAACACCUGCUGGGGGAAUGGGGAGGGUGCUACAGCGGGGACGAAGUGGGGCAAGUUGCGGGGCACGUUGCGGGCGCCGAUGGUGAAGUAAACGUGGAUGAAGCUGAGCAGGGGCGGUGCCUAGUGGAAGGCACGGUACCAGCGGCGGAAGGCGUGGUCAGAGAGGAGGCGGCGCCAGGGCUUGCAGAUGAGGGCGGCGCGCGCGAGGAGGAUCUCCUCAACGAUCUCGAUCAUCAGCUCCGGCGGCUGGCGCGGCCACGGCGGCACCAUGGCGUGCUAGUGGGCAGCGGAGCGAUGCGUGACGAGGCGAGGAUUUGAGUGGGGACUGGGGAUAAGGGGGUUUUGGGAUUGGGGAACAACGUGGGAGAGGAGAGCCAAGGCACAAGGCCCAAGAGUGGUUCAAUCAAGUUAAACUUAGCCCACCACACCCCACGGGCCACGGAUUUCACAGAUGGCAAAGCCUGCACACGAACAUGAAAAUACGUAUGAAGUCUUUGUGCUCUACAAGCAAACCACGGAGCGGAUAACAGCUCCGGGGGUCCAACAAAGUUGGGGACUGUGUUUAAUCAGAUAGACAUCAAUACUGUCUUUAGAAACAACCAAUUUGUUUUCUCUUGAAGCUUUUAUACUGGAAUUCAUCACAGUCAGGGCACCAGCUGAGGCCUUGCAGAUUUCCUGCUAUGAGGCUGUGCCAGUUUAUACAUGGUGCUUCUCUUCUAAUGAACUGGAAGAGGCGAUUCUGGAAGAAGCAGAGAGGAGGUGAGACUAUGCCGAUGCAGACUGCCUCAAGCUGAACCCAACGUACCCGGUACCCGGCCGACGAAUGGUGCCAAGCAUUCAACAAUAUGUAACACAUUUGUGGUUGACGUUUUGCUCUGUUUUCAACAUCUGAUGAAAAUCAUUGCAUGACCUGA
Panicum hallii is the source of this 1264-nucleotide long non-coding RNA. RefSeq lists it as uncharacterized. NCBI's taxonomy places the organism in Eukaryota, Viridiplantae, Streptophyta, Magnoliopsida, Poales, Poaceae. The record is from RefSeq and is a predicted model, not a curated record. The transcript has 2 exons.